AAGUCCGGUAGUGCGAGGCACGUUGAACUGCAAAUUCGAAGACGCCGUUAUUUUCUUGGCCCGGACU
RNAcentral lists this transfer RNA (67 nucleotides) under Hoplodactylus sp. Kaikouras. RNAcentral's name for it is "tRNA-Cys". The record is from RNAcentral. Lineage: Eukaryota; Metazoa; Chordata; Lepidosauria; Squamata; Diplodactylidae.